RNAcentral lists this ribosomal RNA (96 nucleotides) under Gillisella vitis. Its description in RNAcentral is "Agrobacterium vitis (Allorhizobium vitis) partial 16S ribosomal RNA". It matches the Rfam family "Bacterial small subunit ribosomal RNA", at positions 1444 to 1533 of the family's 1533-position model. Lineage: Bacteria; Pseudomonadati; Pseudomonadota; Alphaproteobacteria; Hyphomicrobiales; Rhizobiaceae. The record is from RNAcentral.
AGGAGGCAGCGAACCACGGUAGGGUCAGCGACUGGGGUGAAGUCGUAACAAGGUAGCCGUAGGGGAACCUGCGGCUGGAUCACCUCCUUUCUAAGG